This 1314-nucleotide long non-coding RNA is filed under the name Oncorhynchus kisutch (coho salmon). Its description in RNAcentral is "lncRNA (ENSOKIG00005012445.1)". The record is from RNAcentral. Lineage: Eukaryota; Metazoa; Chordata; Actinopteri; Salmoniformes; Salmonidae.
GGACCUGCUGGUGUGACCUUAUCUGGGACAAUGGGAGAGAGAGGGCUGCCAGGGCUACGGGUAGGUCUGCUUGGUUGAACCAGUUAUUUACAUCAGCUAUUAUUCAGGCAUUUACUAUACAGAUUACCAAACAUGAACAAGAAUGUUUAGGGAUUUCUGGGUUACCACGUGUUUCUAAAGUUGUAUUUUUCUAAAAUGUUUGUCCUUUAGGGUGAGAGGGGGGACAAGGGUCCUGCAGGCACCAAAGGGGACAGGGUGAGUAAUGUCACAUAAUACAACAUUAGUCAACAUUCACAGACACUACAUUAUGACAGUGAUAAGGGAAAUUAUUGUGUGUGUGUCUGUCUGUUUCUGUGUCUUGUUGAAAUAGGGCCCUGCUGGUGAAAAUGGCGAGCCUGGAGAAGAUGUGAGUCACCUUUUGACAUUUUGUAAUAUCAAAUAUUUAAUGUCUAACAGAUGUCAGUCUUACUUACUUCUCCAUCCACUUUGUCUCUUUUAGGGGGGCAGAGGACAUGCAGGGCCUAAAGGAGACAAGGUAAUGCAAAUCACCAGCUGAUUCCUCAUGUCUGUGUUUCCCUGGCUGCUAACCAUGUGACAGUACUAACAGGAUUUGUGUUGCAGGGAGAGAGAGGCAUCGGACUGGCAGGGCCUCCUGGUCAGCUGGGACCUCAAGGGUUAAAGGGAGACACAGGACUCCCGGGCCCAGCAGGUCCUCCAGGAGCCCGUGGCAUAGCAGGGACCCCUGGUCUGGCCGGCCUGAGAGGAGAGAACGGAACCCCAGGACCCCCAGGACCUCUAGGACCCAGGGUGAGAGGGCCUAUAUCGCCACGGUAGUUGGGUGACUGGUGUGGUCUUGUCUUGUUAGCCCUACUCUGUGUUGUAUGAUUAUGUUGUCUCAUCUCCAGGGUCUCCAAGGCUUUCCUGGUCAGGCAGGGACCCCUGGAGGUCCUGGGCCCCCUGGACCCACCGGCCUAGUUGGUACACCGGGAACUGCUGGAGGCAAAGGGGACAAGGGAGCGAUUGGAGCAGGAGUACCUGGAUUGAGAGGCGAGAGAGGAGACCCAGGGCCCCGGGUAAAACCACAUCACCAUUUGAGUUUGAAUUGUAUCUAUAUUUGACAGUGUUGUAUUGUAGAGUUGUGUGUGUUGGGGGAUUUACCGAUUUGUGUGCCUGAUGUUUGCAGGGGGAGGAGGGUCGAGCUGGUUUGGACGGGGAGAGAGGACUAGUGGUACGUCUGUCUUCUCUUCUUUCAUCACUGUCUGUCUCUCAUGUAUCUCUACCACAGGAGGCUGGUGGCACCUUAAUUGGGGAGAA